GCUUCGGUAGUCUAGUGGGUAAAGCGUUCGCCUCGGAUACGGAAGGUCGCGGGUUCGAACCCCAGCUGAGUCA
This is a non-coding RNA of Potamilus streckersoni, 73 nucleotides long. Lineage: Eukaryota; Metazoa; Mollusca; Bivalvia; Unionida; Unionidae. The record is from the annotation of a GenBank genome assembly.